This 476-nucleotide ribosomal RNA is filed under the name uncultured organism. RNAcentral's name for it is "partial 16S ribosomal RNA". It matches the Rfam family "Bacterial small subunit ribosomal RNA", at positions 330 to 797 of the family's 1533-position model. The record is from RNAcentral.
ACGUACCUCCUACGGGAGGCAGCAGUGGGGAAUUUUGGACAAUGGGCGAAAGCCUGAUCCAGCAAUGCCGCGUGUGUGAAGAAGGCCUUCGGGUUGUAAAGCACUUUUGUCCGGAAAGAAAUCCUUGGCUCUAAUACAGUCGGGGGAUGACGGUACCGGAAGAAUAAGCACCGGCUAACUACGUGCCAGCAGCCGCGGUAAUACGUAGGGUGCGAGCGUUAAUCGGAAUUACUGGGCGUAAAGCGUGCGCAGGCGGUUUGCUAAGACCGAUGUGAAAUCCCCGGGCUCAACCUGGGAACUGCAUUGGUGACUGGCAGGCUAGAGUAUGGCAGAGGGGGGUAGAAUUCCACGUGUAGCAGUGAAAUGCGUAGAGAUGUGGAGGAAUACCGAUGGCGAAGGCAGCCCCCUGGGCCAAUACUGACGCUCAUGCACGAAAGCGUGGGGAGCAAACAGGAUUAGAAACCCUUGUAGUCCCA